Non-coding RNA from Bombyx mori (domestic silkworm), 84 nucleotides. The record is from Rfam. Lineage: Eukaryota; Metazoa; Arthropoda; Insecta; Lepidoptera; Bombycidae.
CUAACUCAAAUUUGUAUGGAGUUGAAAUAUUUGCCUACGUUUGUCGCUAGGGGCGCUGUUCCAACUGAAUACAAAUUUGAGUUG